RNAcentral lists this ribosomal RNA (466 nucleotides) under uncultured bacterium. RNAcentral describes it as "partial 16S ribosomal RNA". It matches the Rfam family "Bacterial small subunit ribosomal RNA", at positions 28 to 507 of the family's 1533-position model. The record is from RNAcentral.
GACGAACGCUGGCGGCGCGCCUAACACAUGCAAGUCGAACGAGCGAGAGAGAGCUUGCUUUCUCGAGCGAGUGGCGAACGGGUGAGUAACGCGUGAGGAACCUGCCUCAAAGGGGGGGACAACAGUUGGAAACGACUGCUAAUACCGCAUAAGACCACGACCCGGCAUCGGGUAGAGGGAAAAGGAGCAAUCCGCUUUGAGAUGGCCUCGCGUCCGAUUAGCUAGUUGGUGAGGUAACGGCCCACCAAGGCGACGAUCGGUAGCCGGACUGAGAGGUUGAACGGCCACAUUGGGACUGAGACACGGCCCAGACUCCUACGGGAGGCAGCAGUGGGGAAUAUUGCACAAUGGGGGAAACCCUGAUGCAGCGACGCCGCGUGGAGGAAGAAGGUCUUCGGAUUGUAAACUCCUGUUGUUGAGGAAGAUAAUGACGGUACUCAACAAGGAAGUGACGGCUAACUACGUG